This 2834-nucleotide ribosomal RNA is filed under the name Staphylococcus aureus. Its description in RNAcentral is "bacterial LSU rRNA". It matches the Rfam family "Bacterial large subunit ribosomal RNA". The record is from RNAcentral. Lineage: Bacteria; Bacillati; Bacillota; Bacilli; Caryophanales; Staphylococcaceae. RNAcentral also lists the same sequence under 2 other names.
GAUUAAGUUAUUAAGGGCGCACGGUGGAUGCCUUGGCACUAGAAGCCGAUGAAGGACGUUACUAACGACGAUAUGCUUUGGGGAGCUGUAAGUAAGCUUUGAUCCAGAGAUUUCCGAAUGGGGAAACCCAGCAUGAGUUAUGUCAUGUUAUCGAUAUGUGAAUACAUAGCAUAUCAGAAGGCACACCCGGAGAACUGAAACAUCUUAGUACCCGGAGGAAGAGAAAGAAAAUUCGAUUCCCUUAGUAGCGGCGAGCGAAACGGGAAGAGCCCAAACCAACAAGCUUGCUUGUUGGGGUUGUAGGACACUCUAUACGGAGUUACAAAGGACGACAUUAGACGAAUCAUCUGGAAAGAUGAAUCAAAGAAGGUAAUAAUCCUGUAGUCGAAAAUGUUGUCUCUCUUGAGUGGAUCCUGAGUACGACGGAGCACGUGAAAUUCCGUCGGAAUCUGGGAGGACCAUCUCCUAAGGCUAAAUACUCUCUAGUGACCGAUAGUGAACCAGUACCGUGAGGGAAAGGUGAAAAGCACCCCGGAAGGGGAGUGAAAUAGAACCUGAAACCGUGUGCUUACAAGUAGUCAGAGCCCGUUAAUGGGUGAUGGCGUGCCUUUUGUAGAAUGAACCGGCGAGUUACGAUUUGAUGCAAGGUUAAGCAGUAAAUGUGGAGCCGUAGCGAAAGCGAGUCUGAAUAGGGCGUUUAGUAUUUGGUCGUAGACCCGAAACCAGGUGAUCUACCCUUGGUCAGGUUGAAGUUCAGGUAACACUGAAUGGAGGACCGAACCGACUUACGUUGAAAAGUGAGCGGAUGAACUGAGGGUAGCGGAGAAAUUCCAAUCGAACCUGGAGAUAGCUGGUUCUCUCCGAAAUAGCUUUAGGGCUAGCCUCAAGUGAUGAUUAUUGGAGGUAGAGCACUGUUUGGACGAGGGGCCCCUCUCGGGUUACCGAAUUCAGACAAACUCCGAAUGCCAAUUAAUUUAACUUGGGAGUCAGAACAUGGGUGAUAAGGUCCGUGUUCGAAAGGGAAACAGCCCAGACCACCAGCUAAGGUCCCAAAAUAUAUGUUAAGUGGAAAAGGAUGUGGCGUUGCCCAGACAACUAGGAUGUUGGCUUAGAAGCAGCCAUCAUUUAAAGAGUGCGUAAUAGCUCACUAGUCGAGUGACACUGCGCCGAAAAUGUACCGGGGCUAAACAUAUUACCGAAGCUGUGGAUUGUCCUUUGGACAAUGGUAGGAGAGCGUUCUAAGGGCGUUGAAGCAUGAUCGUAAGGACAUGUGGAGCGCUUAGAAGUGAGAAUGCCGGUGUGAGUAGCGAAAGACGGGUGAGAAUCCCGUCCACCGAUUGACUAAGGUUUCCAGAGGAAGGCUCGUCCGCUCUGGGUUAGUCGGGUCCUAAGCUGAGGCCGACAGGCGUAGGCGAUGGAUAACAGGUUGAUAUUCCUGUACCACCUAUAAUCGUUUUAAUCGAUGGGGGGACGCAGUAGGAUAGGCGAAGCGUGCGAUUGGAUUGCACGUCUAAGCAGUAAGGCUGAGUAUUAGGCAAAUCCGGUACUCGUUAAGGCUGAGCUGUGAUGGGGAGAAGACAUUGAGUCUUCGAGUCGUUGAUUUCACACUGCCGAGAAAAGCCUCUAGAUAGAAAAUAGGUGCCCGUACCGCAAACCGACACAGGUAGUCAAGAUGAGAAUUCUAAGGUGAGCGAGCGAACUCUCGUUAAGGAACUCGGCAAAAUGACCCCGUAACUUCGGGAGAAGGGGUGCUCUUUAGGGUUAACGCCCAGAAGAGCCGCAGUGAAUAGGCCCAAGCGACUGUUUAUCAAAAACACAGGUCUCUGCUAAACCGUAAGGUGAUGUAUAGGGGCUGACGCCUGCCCGGUGCUGGAAGGUUAAGAGGAGUGGUUAGCUUCUGCGAAGCUACGAAUCGAAGCCCCAGUAAACGGCGGCCGUAACUAUAACGGUCCUAAGGUAGCGAAAUUCCUUGUCGGGUAAGUUCCGACCCGCACGAAAGGCGUAACGAUUUGGGCACUGUCUCAACGAGAGACUCGGUGAAAUCAUAGUACCUGUGAAGAUGCAGGUUACCCGCGACAGGACGGAAAGACCCCGUGGAGCUUUACUGUAGCCUGAUAUUGAAAUUCGGCACAGCUUGUACAGGAUAGGUAGGAGCCUUUGAAACGUGAGCGCUAGCUUACGUGGAGGCGCUGGUGGGAUACUACCCUAGCUGUGUUGGCUUUCUAACCCGCACCACUUAUCGUGGUGGGAGACAGUGUCAGGCGGGCAGUUUGACUGGGGCGGUCGCCUCCUAAAAGGUAACGGAGGCGCUCAAAGGUUCCCUCAGAAUGGUUGGAAAUCAUUCAUAGAGUGUAAAGGCAUAAGGGAGCUUGACUGCGAGACCUACAAGUCGAGCAGGGUCGAAAGACGGACUUAGUGAUCCGGUGGUUCCGCAUGGAAGGGCCAUCGCUCAACGGAUAAAAGCUACCCCGGGGAUAACAGGCUUAUCUCCCCCAAGAGUUCACAUCGACGGGGAGGUUUGGCACCUCGAUGUCGGCUCAUCGCAUCCUGGGGCUGUAGUCGGUCCCAAGGGUUGGGCUGUUCGCCCAUUAAAGCGGUACGCGAGCUGGGUUCAGAACGUCGUGAGACAGUUCGGUCCCUAUCCGUCGUGGGCGUAGGAAAUUUGAGAGGAGCUGUCCUUAGUACGAGAGGACCGGGAUGGACAUACCUCUGGUGUACCAGUUGUCGUGCCAACGGCAUAGCUGGGUAGCUAUGUGUGGACGGGAUAAGUGCUGAAAGCAUCUAAGCAUGAAGCCCCCCUCAAGAUGAGAUUUCCCAACUUCGGUUAUAAGAUC